ACGGGAGGCAGCAGUGAGGAAUAUUGGUCAAUGGGCGGAAGCCUGAACCAGCCAAGUCGCGUGAAGGAUGAAGGUAUUAUGUAUUGUAAACUUCUUUAGACGCAGAGAAAUAAGGGGCUCGAGAGCUCUGAUGCUAGUAUGCGUAGAAUAAGGAUCGGCUAACUCCGUGCCAGCAGCCGCGGUAAUACGGAGGAUCCGAGCGUUAUCCGGAUUUAUUGGGUUUAAAGGGUGCGCAGGCGGGCUGCUAAGUCUCCGGUGAAAUGUCAGGGCUCAACCUUGGCACUGCCGGAGAUACUGGCGGCCUUGAGAGUGGCGGAGGUAUCCGGAAUGUGUGGUGUAGCGGUGAAAUGCAUAGAUAUCACACAGAACACCGAUUGCGAAGGCAGGAUACCAUACCAUAUCUGACGCUCAGGCACGAAAGCGUGGGGAUCGAACAGGAUUAGAUACCCUGGUA
This 454-nucleotide ribosomal RNA is filed under the name uncultured Olivibacter sp. RNAcentral describes it as "partial 16S ribosomal RNA". It matches the Rfam family "Bacterial small subunit ribosomal RNA", at positions 341 to 792 of the family's 1533-position model. The record is from RNAcentral. Lineage: Bacteria; Pseudomonadati; Bacteroidota; Sphingobacteriia; Sphingobacteriales; Sphingobacteriaceae.